RNAcentral lists this ribosomal RNA (1543 nucleotides) under Serratia plymuthica S13. RNAcentral's name for it is "16S ribosomal RNA". It matches the Rfam family "Bacterial small subunit ribosomal RNA". Lineage: Bacteria; Pseudomonadati; Pseudomonadota; Gammaproteobacteria; Enterobacterales; Yersiniaceae. The record is from RNAcentral.
AAAUUGAAGAGUUUGAUCAUGGCUCAGAUUGAACGCUGGCGGCAGGCCUAACACAUGCAAGUCGAGCGGUAGCACAAGAGAGCUUGCUCUCUGGGUGACGAGCGGCGGACGGGUGAGUAAUGUCUGGGAAACUGCCUGAUGGAGGGGGGAUAACUACUGGAAACGGUAGCUAAUACCGCAUAACGUCUACGGACCAAAGUGGGGGACCUUCGGGCCUCACGCCAUCAGAUGUGCCCAGAUGGGAUUAGCUAGUAGGUGGGGUAAUGGCUCACCUAGGCGACGAUCCCUAGCUGGUCUGAGAGGAUGACCAGCCACACUGGAACUGAGACACGGUCCAGACUCCUACGGGAGGCAGCAGUGGGGAAUAUUGCACAAUGGGCGCAAGCCUGAUGCAGCCAUGCCGCGUGUGUGAAGAAGGCCUUAGGGUUGUAAAGCACUUUCAGCGAGGAGGAAGGGUAGUGUGUUAAUAGCACAUUGCAUUGACGUUACUCGCAGAAGAAGCACCGGCUAACUCCGUGCCAGCAGCCGCGGUAAUACGGAGGGUGCAAGCGUUAAUCGGAAUUACUGGGCGUAAAGCGCACGCAGGCGGUUUGUUAAGUCAGAUGUGAAAUCCCCGCGCUUAACGUGGGAACUGCAUUUGAAACUGGCAAGCUAGAGUCUUGUAGAGGGGGGUAGAAUUCCAGGUGUAGCGGUGAAAUGCGUAGAGAUCUGGAGGAAUACCGGUGGCGAAGGCGGCCCCCUGGACAAAGACUGACGCUCAGGUGCGAAAGCGUGGGGAGCAAACAGGAUUAGAUACCCUGGUAGUCCACGCUGUAAACGAUGUCGAUUUGGAGGUUGUGCCCUUGAGGCGUGGCUUCCGGAGCUAACGCGUUAAAUCGACCGCCUGGGGAGUACGGCCGCAAGGUUAAAACUCAAAUGAAUUGACGGGGGCCCGCACAAGCGGUGGAGCAUGUGGUUUAAUUCGAUGCAACGCGAAGAACCUUACCUACUCUUGACAUCCAGAGAACUUUCCAGAGAUGGAUUGGUGCCUUCGGGAACUCUGAGACAGGUGCUGCAUGGCUGUCGUCAGCUCGUGUUGUGAAAUGUUGGGUUAAGUCCCGCAACGAGCGCAACCCUUAUCCUUUGUUGCCAGCGAUUCGGUCGGGAACUCAAAGGAGACUGCCGGUGAUAAACCGGAGGAAGGUGGGGAUGACGUCAAGUCAUCAUGGCCCUUACGAGUAGGGCUACACACGUGCUACAAUGGCGUAUACAAAGAGAAGCGAACUCGCGAGAGCAAGCGGACCUCAUAAAGUACGUCGUAGUCCGGAUUGGAGUCUGCAACUCGACUCCAUGAAGUCGGAAUCGCUAGUAAUCGUAGAUCAGAAUGCUACGGUGAAUACGUUCCCGGGCCUUGUACACACCGCCCGUCACACCAUGGGAGUGGGUUGCAAAAGAAGUAGGUAGCUUAACCUUCGGGAGGGCGCUUACCACUUUGUGAUUCAUGACUGGGGUGAAGUCGUAACAAGGUAACCGUAGGGGAACCUGCGGUUGGAUCACCUCCUUA